AGAAAUACAUCGCUGGUACGGGUACGAAACCGACUCCUCAUGAAGGCUACUUAGGCUCUUCGUACCCUACUCCUACUCAAAACGUCCCCGGCGUACAGAACGGUAACAUGUUACUCCACAUAUCUGAGCUUGGGUACACGGGGAAACCCAACCCCUUGGGAAGAUGGAUGAUAUGGCUAAUUUGAGANNN
Anopheles farauti is the source of this 190-nucleotide non-coding RNA. Lineage: Eukaryota; Metazoa; Arthropoda; Insecta; Diptera; Culicidae. The record is from Rfam.